CGCUGGUAGGGAUCAUUA
RNAcentral lists this ribosomal RNA (18 nucleotides) under Cordyceps militaris. RNAcentral's name for it is "partial 18S ribosomal RNA". The record is from RNAcentral. Lineage: Eukaryota; Fungi; Ascomycota; Sordariomycetes; Hypocreales; Cordycipitaceae.